GCCCCGGGAAGAGACCGUCCCGGGGGAGCCGUGGUGCGCUCCUCGGCACUGGGCUCGGGGCCAGAGUUGGGAGGGAAGAGCGUUUCAUGCCUCAGCAGACCCGCUGGUCUCCGCCUGUCCCCGGAGACUCCGGAUUUAGAACCGCCAGAGGCUCCUACGUGGCCGCGGGUCCAAUUACCCCCUGCGGCUUUGGAGGAGAGAAACAGAUUUUUUUUUUUUAAGCCUAGUUACAAGGAUGGAGUCUCCACUGAAAAAGACUGGAAGUCCCCAUUCUUCAGGAUUAGAGGGGAGGCUCGCGUUGCCAGACUCCUGGACAGCUUGUACAGGGGCAUAUCUUGACCAGCAACAAAGUCUUCCCAGGAGAGGAGGAACUAUUGGCCCAGGUCACUUGCAUCUACAACUGGAUUGGUUCAUACACCGAUUUUUCCCUCUCAAAGGGAAACCAGAUUUCCAAGUUCUGGGAUACACACACACACACACACACACACACACACACACACAUAUACAUUGUAUGUCUGUUCAUAGUCUUUGUGUGUUUAUUUGGACUUCCUGUAAUAAAUAGGAAAGAGCUCCGCA
Long non-coding RNA from Myotis lucifugus (little brown bat), 576 nucleotides. RefSeq lists it as uncharacterized. The record is from RefSeq and is a predicted model, not a curated record. The transcript is spliced from 2 exons. NCBI's taxonomy places the organism in Eukaryota, Metazoa, Chordata, Mammalia, Chiroptera, Vespertilionidae.